AGUUUGAUUAUGGCUCAGGACGAACGCUGGCGGCGUGCNUAAUACAUGCAAGUAGAACGCUGAAGGAAUAGCUUGCUAUUCUGGAAGAGUUGCGAACGGGUGAGUAACGCGUAGGUAACCUACCUCAUAGCGGGGGAUAACUAUUGGAAACGAUAGCUAAUACCGCAUAAGAAUACUUAUUGCAUGAUAAGUAUUUAAAAGGAACAACUGUUUCACUGUGAGAUGGACCUGCGUUGUAUUAGCUAGUUGGUAAGGUAACGGCUUACCAAGGCGACGAUACAUAGCCGACCUGAGAGGGUGAUCGGCCACACUGGGACUGAGACACGGCCCAGACUCCUACGGGAGGCAGCAGUAGGGAAUCUUCGGCAAUGGGGGCAACCCUGACCGAGCAACGCCGCGUGAGUGAAGAAGGUUUUCGGAUCGUAAAGCUCUGUUGUCAGCCAAGAAUGUAUGUGAGA
Molecule: ribosomal RNA, 458 nt
Filed under: Streptococcus sp. canine oral taxon 279
Lineage: Bacteria; Bacillati; Bacillota; Bacilli; Lactobacillales; Streptococcaceae
Description: bacterial SSU rRNA
Rfam family: Bacterial small subunit ribosomal RNA
Source: RNAcentral